UCAGCGCGCGCCGCCGCCGGUCACGUGCCUUCCCUGUGGUCACGUGCCCCGUGUUUACCUCGGUCGGCAGCGCGGCGGGCUCACCAUGUCCCUGCCAGCAAAGAGGUGUGGAAGGCCCCCGGUGUUGUCCUUCCUGGAAAAGAAAAAGAGAAAGCAAAGUCUUGAUAGAAGAAGGGGCAAAACGAGGAUUUAUGUGGGAAAUCACAUUGAGCGGUGGCUGACACUUAAGGAGAAGCUGGAUUUCAGGAACGAUGCAGAAGUUGCAGGGUUUUUAUUGGAUUUGUAUGACAGCUACGACCCACUGUCAAAAGCCCCGCUCUGUCCCCUCCCUGAGGGUGUCAGGAGGAUCACUAUGAAGGAAGAAAGAGCUCUGUCAGGCAGCACAUCUUUAAUAGCAGCAGAUGGGACGUAUGACAAUGAUGAGCAGCUGCAUAAAGAAUCUGCUUGUUCUGGCCUGGGAGAUGUGAGAGUUGUGACUGUGAAGGAGGAGCGAGAGACACCCCAGGACUGUGUGUUGGCACGGGCAGAUGACACUGCUGUGCUCAGCGAGGCCACCCCACCAUCGGCUGCUGGUCUGUGUUACUGCAGUGUCUCCAGUAACUGAGGCAUUCCCAUUGAGAUCAGAGGAGCCUCCAAUAGGGGGACACGGAGGCCGUAGGACGUUGCACUGGCAUUGCAUGGUGUGUCCAAACCCCUCGCUAAGAUGGUGAAUAGGCAAACAACCUGAGGUUCUGAAAGCAGUUCCGUGGCACAGAAGAAUUCUUGGAAGCUAGGGCAGGAGAAAACAAAUACCAGUGCUGAUGAAGCUGACAAAUUCAAGUACAUUCUUCAAAACAGCAUUUUUCACUGGCAAUGUAAUUUUAGUUUGGAGUGCAGCAAUAAUUGAAUUCCUGGGACUGAUUUGAUACAGGGUGAGCGGCAAGAAGAAAAUCGAGCUCUUGCAUAACAAUACUGGGGCAGUUUUUGGUCUGUUUUGAUUUUGCUGUGAGGGUAUUGUGAACUGUAAGUUGUAUGAAACUCCAUGUUAUGUGUUGAACAGCACAUUAAACUUAAUUCCCUGAA
This is an RNA transcript of Lepidothrix coronata (blue-crowned manakin), 1062 nucleotides long. RefSeq lists it as uncharacterized. The record is from RefSeq and is a predicted model, not a curated record. The transcript has 8 exons. NCBI's taxonomy places the organism in Eukaryota, Metazoa, Chordata, Aves, Passeriformes, Pipridae.